CCUACGGGAGGCAGCAGUGAGGAAUAUUGGUCAAUGGACGAGAGUCUGAACCAGCCAAGUAGCGUGAAGGAUGACUGCCCUAUGGGUUGUAAACUUCUUUUAUAAAGGAAUAAAACGAGGCACGUGUGCCUGUUUGCAUGUACUUUAUGAAUAAGGAUCGGCGAACUCCGUACCAGCAGCCGCGGUAAUACGGAGGAUCCGAGCGUUAUCCGGAUUUAUUGGGUUUAAAGGGAGCGUAGAUGGGUUGUUAAGUCAGUUGUGAAAGUUUGCGGCUCAACCGUAAAAUUGCAAUUGAUACUGGCAGUCUUGAGUACAGUUGAGGUAGGCGGAAUUCGUGGUGUAGCGGUGAAAUGCUUAGAUAUCACGAAGAACCCCGAUUGCGAAGGCAGCUUACUAAACUGUGACUGACAUUGAUGCUCGAAAGUGUGGGUAUCAAACAGGAUUAGAUACCCCAGUAGUC
Molecule: ribosomal RNA, 460 nt
Filed under: uncultured bacterium
Lineage: Bacteria
Description: partial 16S ribosomal RNA
Rfam family: Bacterial small subunit ribosomal RNA
Source: RNAcentral